UGCAGCGAUGCCGCGUGAGUGAAGAAGGCCUUUGGGUUGUAAAGCUCUUUCGUCGGGGAAGAAAAUGACUGUACCCGAAUAAGAAGGUCCGGCUAACUUCGUGCCAGCAGCCGCGGUAAUACGAAGGGACCUAGCGUAGUUCGGAAUUACUGGGCUUAAAGAGUUCGUAGGUGGUUAAAAAAGUUGGUGGUGAAAUCCCAGAGCUUAACUCUGGAACUGCCAUCAAAACUUUUUAGCUAGAGUAUGAUAGAGGAAAGCAGAAUUUCUAGUGUAGAGGUGAAAUUCGUAGAUAUUAGAAAGAAUACCAAUUGCGAAGGCAGCUUUCUGGAUCAUUACUGACACUGAGGAACGAAAGCAUGGGUAGCGAAGAGGAUUAGAUACCCUCGUAGUCCAUGCCGUAAACGAUGUGUGUUAGACGUUGGAAAUUUAUUUUCAGUGUCGCAGCGAAAGCGAUAAACACACCGCCUGGGGAGUACGACCG
This 481-nucleotide ribosomal RNA is filed under the name uncultured Pelagibacterales bacterium. RNAcentral's name for it is "bacterial SSU rRNA". It matches the Rfam family "Bacterial small subunit ribosomal RNA", at positions 387 to 888 of the family's 1533-position model. Lineage: Bacteria; Pseudomonadati; Pseudomonadota; Alphaproteobacteria; Candidatus Pelagibacterales. The record is from RNAcentral.